ACUGAACCUUAUCAUUUAGAGGAAGGAGAAGUCGUAACAAGGUUUCCGUAGGUGAACCUGCGGAAGGAUCAUUGUCGAAUCCUACGAUAGCGAAAUGACCUGCUAACAUGUAAAACNNNCAUCGGGUGAGCGUCNGGGGGAUUAGGUUCUCCCGACCUUGUACUUGAGGCGGGUGGCCCUNUUGGGUGCCCACUCGCCNNCACGANNAAUUGGGCGCGGAAGGCGCCAAGGAAAAUGAAAUUGAAUUAUAUGCGCGCUUCUUAAAUGCAUGAAGCGUUGUUAUUCUAAAAAUCAAAUGACUCUCGGCAACGGAUAUCCCGGCUCUCGCAUCGAUGAAGAACGUAGCGAAAUGCGAUACUUGGUGUGAAUUGCAGAAUCCCGUGAACCAUCGAGUCUUUGAACGCAAGUUGCGCCCGAGGCCNNUCGGCUAAGGGCACGUCUGCCUGGGUGUCAUGUAUCAUCUUGCCCCUUGAUUAUUCUCUCUCCGSGAGGAGGUAGNAYUACCCUGGGGGCGUAAAAUGGCCUCCCGUUNUCUUUAUGGUGCGGUUGGUGCUAAAUUGAGACUCUUAGCGACGUAUGUCACGGCAUCGGUGGUUGUGAAAAGACCGUCUUAUCUUGUCGGGCCAAAUAUUAGUCACCUAAGAGAGAUCACGGACCCUAAGUUGUCAUGCAAUGUGCGUGUGCUUCGAUUGUGACCCCAGGUCAGGCGGGACUACCCGCUGAGUUUAAGCAUAUCAU
RNAcentral lists this ribosomal RNA (738 nucleotides) under Lilaeopsis mauritiana. Its description in RNAcentral is "eukaryotic LSU rRNA". The stretch from base 298 to 453 matches the Rfam family "5.8S ribosomal RNA". Lineage: Eukaryota; Viridiplantae; Streptophyta; Magnoliopsida; Apiales; Apiaceae. The record is from RNAcentral.